AUUUGGGUUUCAUUCUUCUUAAUAGAGAGCAGAAUGAGUCACAGUGCCUCUGUGUGUGUGUGUGUGUGUGUGUGUGUGUGUGUGUGUGAGUGAGUGUGUGUGUGAGAGAGAGAGAGAGAGAGAGUGUGUGUGUGUGUGUGUGAGUGAGAGUGUGUGUGUGUGUGUGUGUGUGUGUGUGUGAGUGAGUGUGUGUGUGAGAGAGAGAGAGAGAGAGAGUGUGUGUGUGUGUGUGUGAGUGAGAGUGUGUGUGUGUGUGUGUGUGUGUGUGUGUGAGUGAGUGUGUGUGUGAGAGAGAGAGAGAGAGAGAGUGUGUGUGUGUGUGUGUGAGUGAGAGUGUGUGUGUGUGUGUGUGUGUGUGUGUGUGAGUGAGUGUGUGUGUGAGAGAGAGAGAGAGAGAGAGUGUGUGUGUGUGUGUGUGAGUGAGAGUGUGUGUGUGUGUGUGUGUGUGUGUGUGUGAGUGAGUGUGUGUGUGAGAGAGAGAGAGAGAGAGAGUGUGUGUGUGUGUGUGUGAGUGAGAGUGUGUGUGUGUGUGUGUGUGUGUGUGUGUGAGUGAGUGUGUGUGUGAGAGAGAGAGAGAGAGAGAGUGUGUGUGUGUGUGUGUGAGUGAGAGUGUGUGUGUGUGUGUGUGUGUGUGUGUGUGAGUGAGUGUGUGUGUGAGAGAGAGAGAGAGAGAGAGUGUGUGUGUGUGUGUGUGUGUGUGUGUGUUCACCUGUCUGAGUGGGCGGGGCCACGGGCCGGUUCAGGUGCGGGGCCAUUUUCUCCUCAGUGUUUCUCUGAAUCAGUGUCGGACUCGAGCUCACAGUCAGCUGCUGCUGAAACACUGAAAUCAUGAAAUCACGCUGAUUUCAAUCUCUGCAGAUGAAAUCACUUUCGUUACAACCAUGAAGAAAGGAUCGUUUAAUUUCCUGGGUCGGAAGAAUCAAUCUCUAUUCGACACCAAUGUGGAAAUCAGGGACAUGGAUAAUGUGGAGCUGGUGUUGGACUCGGCUGCCAUCCCGGAGUCUGGAACCGCCAAAGUGCGCUCGCGUCCGACUGUCAAACACUUCAUGUCGUCUGAGAGUGCGCAAGGCUUUGCAGUUCCAACUCCCAAGGUACCGGUUCUUCCGCCCUUCAACGAGCCCAAGAUAAACGGUACAGGAAGUACUACAAACCUCUCAAAUGGAAGGAUGCUUUCUGUCCCUGACCUACUCGAGGGGGAAAUACUUAUACCUCCUCCGCCUAGCUCCGCUCCUCCACCCCCUCCAUCAUAUUCAGCCCCACCUCCUCCAUCAUUCAUCCCUCCCCCACCACAGUUCUUUGGCGAAAUGGACCCUUCUUUAGAUCGUGCAAGCCUGCAUCCCCCUCCAAUGGCACCCCCAAAACCGCCAUCACUUACCAGUUCCAAUUACAGUGCAGAUUUGGACCUUGCCUCCCUCAAACCUCCUCCAAUGCCUCCUCCAAAACCUCCAUCUGAAACUUCCAGCCUCAGAGGUUCCCUCUCUAGCCUGGAUGUCCAAGAUUUCCCAGAAUGCCCCAAGUUCAACCCACCGCCACCCCCUGUUCUUGCAAAAGCUCAGAAAGCAGCACCUCCCAAACCCAUUCGAAUGUCCUCCAUACCCAAUCUAGACAUCCAGUCCCAAACUCCUGUGCCACCCGUUGCUUCCAACCCAACACCAUCUAGCUUCAACCCCCAGAACACAGCAAAACUCUACAGCGUGCAGAAGAGCACACUACUUGGUGGACAGACAGAUAGGGAAAAAAAAGUCCAGUCCAUUCUGCUGCUGGAAGAUUCUGCUGGAAACACGGUUGGUGUUGUCAAUGGGAAUAGUGGGAAAAAUGCUGAAUCUUUCCAACCAGGGGUGCUACCAACCAAACCAGCCCGUCGGAACAGCUCCGCCACUCAUCUACAGGAUGACCAGCCAGACAUGGCACAAGCUCCAAGAGAACAAGCCAAGGUAGAGCCCAAAAUCAAUCCUGAGCCUGUAACACCACAAAACAUCCCCACUGAGAUACCAGCACCAAUCAAAGUCUCACCCAAAAUAGAGAAAAGGAUACCUGAUGUUAGGCAGGUGGUGACCCCAGUUGCGUCCCCUGGCAGGCCUCGCAAGUACAGCCCUAUCUUGAACCACCGACAUCUCAACACGCGGGGCGCAGACGGCUCAGUAAAGAAAGAGACCUCAACUUCACCUUUCGCCUUGCUGAUGGCUGCAAAGGAAAGAGAAAAGCAGAGAACUGCUCUGUCCCAACAGAACAGCAACUCAAGAGAUCCAGUCAAUUCUGUGAUCCAACCUAGUGUAGAAAAACCAAACUCCUUCACUGUCACUCCUCGAGACCCAACACCAGACAGUCCCAAUGCACAAUUAAAGUUGACCACAAACACGCAACCACUCGCCUCUCUAUCAACCAAAGUCGACGGUCCACAUGUGUCCUACUCAAAGCCAGAGCUAAGCUCAACCCCUCUACGAAGCCCAAUGAACAGCUCUGUUAGUGGUCUGGGUGUCCCUGUUAGAGAUGUGGAAAUUGGAGAAGACUUGGUCUUCAUUCCACCACCUCCUGAAUUUGCCAACUCGGACUCUGAGGAGGAACCUCCAGUUCCCCCACCAAGUCACCCCGCUCCUGCUCCACCUGUGAAAAGUGCCCCUCCACCUGCUAAAACCCUCUUACCUGCUACACCUGCUCCAAUCACCAACUCCCCCCCACCAAGUCACCCGGCUCCUGCUACCCCUGUAAAACCUGCCCCUCUACCUUCUAAACCCUUACCUAUUCCAAUCACCAAUGGCUCUCUGCCAAGCCACCCUGCUCCUGCUCCAACACCUGCCAAACCCUCCCUACCUCCAACACCUCCUCCUUCCACCAAUGGCCCCCUCAUUUCCCCCAAACCUAAACCACCCAGCUGUCCUCCCAAGGCCCCAGGACCUCCCCCAAAUAUCCAGCCCCAAUCCAAACCACCUGUUCAAACUAAACCCACUCAACCCAUUGCACAAGUGCCGCCAUCCGUCUCCGCUAGCCAAGCGACACUUCUCAGUAUCCUGCAGAAGAAGAUGCUAGAGAUGGACCCCAAGUUCUCGGCUGUCAAAGAGGUGGAGACCAACGGAGAUGACUGGAACUAUCCACUGUCUGAUGACGAGGCCACGUCGCCCCUUACCACAUACAAUCCUAUGACAAACCGCAGUGCCACCUUGCCGGCGCAAACUCGUGGAGUGGACAUGAAGGAGCUGGAAAGCAAAGCGGCCAAAAAAGCUCAAAAUUUGGCCACUUCGACUAAAUCCCAGAACAGUAACGGAUCAUCAACCAAACAGCAGUUUGGAAUGACGUUCACCGUGAGACCAGGAGCCAAACAACCAAUAACACCCGUUAUCAAAGACGGUUCGUCCUGAUCCAUUAUUCCAGAGACGUGCCUUACCUGUACAUAUGUACCUACCUGACAGAUAUUUAACGUUUUGCACCCGGUCUGUAAAGUAUUACUGUAACUUUCUACCUGGACGUUUCUUCAGCUGUCAGUAUAUUCAGGUUGUGCCGAACUCUUGCUGCUAAAAUCGAACAAUGGAGCAACUGUGCCUGUAUACGCUAUACACAGAAACUUGUUUUAAUGUCAAACCUUUUCAUUUAAUUCAUUAGUUUAAUCCAGUUUCUAAUCAGUUGUUUAAGAACAUCAGUUCUUAAUUGUAACUUCUGCACAAUAUUUUUUAAUGCCUUUAAUCAUUAAUGUACAAAAUGACUCUAUAGCUCUCGAUAUGAGAGCUUCUUUCAGUGGUGCUGGAUUUUUUUCCAGGUCAAAACAUUUUUACGAACUUAUAAAAAGUAUGCCUUAAAAUUUGAUCAAAUGGUUGCGAAGCCUUGAACACAUUACUGAUGGUUCUUCUUAAUGAAGAAAAAUGCUUUUGCUGCUUUUCAUAGCCGUUUUCUUAAUCAAAAAAAUAAAUAAUGCAAACUUUGUAUUUGCAUGAAUAUACUGGUUAAAAGUGUAUUUGAAGAAAUAAGCUAGCAUCUGCUACGAACAGGUUUAAUUGUGUGAUAUAUGCAAUAGGUCAAUAAUUGUGCUUCAUUAAUCCGCAAACUUGUUUGUAUGACUGUUCAUGUUAAAUUGUUAUUUUUGGACAUUUAACCUUUUGUUACCCCUGAGAGUAAGAAUAUAACCGCAAUACCGUCUAAUAAAGAUAUGCGAGAGCAUAAAUAUACAGAUGACGGAAACUUUAUUGAACAGUGAAUCUUGGAAAUGUGAGAAAUAUGUCAUUCAUACCCAUUUCUGUUAUUAAAAAACAAAUUUUCUGCAUUAUUUUUAUCCUCCUAUGAUUAUGCAUUAAACUCAUGAAUCAUUAUUUGAUGGUGACGGAACAACAGAAAUGGGGAUGAGCUGGAGGUUGGUGUGGUUUCCCAUGAUGCUCUAGGGCGCAGACACGCUGUGGUGGAGCACCUGAUGGCCCCAGCCCACGGUGGUCAACACGGCCGAGCCGCACGGGGCCCAACACACGCCGCGUACGAAAUCCUGGUGCCGCCGGUCCCUGAAGCUAAACACGGAGCACACGACAGACUCGGAUCAGUGCUCUCGAGAUAUAAACACACUUCUGGAUCGAUAGCACUUAGAUUACAAAUCACAAUGCCAUUAUUAUGAAUGUGUACUAGGAUAAUAUCGUUAUGGACAUAUACCAUUGAAAUAAUGUUUUUUUUAAGGACAUAAACAAUGUAAAUGCCAUGGUACAUGAAUAUGAAUACAAAAUGGAAUGUUAAGGUGUUUUAA
Sinocyclocheilus anshuiensis is the source of this 4717-nucleotide long non-coding RNA. Ensembl annotates it as proline-rich protein 36-like. The record is from Ensembl. Lineage: Eukaryota; Metazoa; Chordata; Actinopteri; Cypriniformes; Cyprinidae.